GUCCAAAAAUCAAGUAAAACAUAAACAAUGAGACUAAUAAGAUUGAUAGGUUGUGUUAUUUUGAUGUGUAUGAUUGAUGCAGCGCCAUCUGGUAGUAUAGACAGUAACAAACAAACUGGGCCAAAGAUAUACGAAGAGUCGUUUUUCUACAGUUUGUUCUUGAAGCUAAUGUCUAAUGGAUCUUUAAGACAAUGGAUCAAUCAGAAAUUUCUUAGGCCUUCCGGCAGCAGUUCUAGUUUAUCAUUUGGUGCAAAUGGUAGUAACAACAGACAAACAACAACCAUUCAAACAGAUACAACUUCACCAAGUUUGACCUUUGUGAGAGAUCAUGACCCUAAUGUUAAAGUUCAGACAAGUACGUCUGCAGUUAAAGAUCUUACAGUUGAACGGGAUCAUAUGAAUCCUACCCCGCCUUCCGGUCAGCUUGUAACAGACUCAAAAACAACAAAAAAUAAAGACAAAUUUACAAUACCGAUUGUUAUCUUAACUGGUACUGAAGCCGAAAAGAUAAAGGUACCAGACCAUACAACUGAAAGCCUGACUGUGGUUAGAGACUAUAUGCAAGAUGGCAGUACAAAAGUCAAACGUCACGUGUCAAGAAGAAAGAGAGCUCAUCAAUAUCAAUUGCCGAUGGUUAGACUGAGUUCAAAAAUUAAAUACAACAAUCCCUCUGACCAGGCAUCUCAAACAGCACCGCUGACCGAUGACGAUGGACAAGAUUUAGUUAUUGUCCGGGAUAAGUCGAAUCAACCAAAAACCGUUACAUUCAAAUUUGUGCCAUGCGGGAACGGUCAAAUGUGUAUUGUGUUUGCUUAAAGCUAGUACGAAGGGAUUUCAAAGAAAUGUCAAUUUUUUUUAACUUCCGGUUUCAAUGUUAAAUCAAAACAUCUUUUGCUUAUGGCUAUACCAACGUCGAGAGACCAACGUUAAAUUAUUCUUUACGUACGUGCAGUGUUAGGAGUUAUCAGAUGAACAAAGUGACAGUUACUUUUCCUUCUUUUUUGUGUAUGAUUUAUGAAUUCGUCCAGUGUAUCUCUCUAUAUAUAUACGUGUAUAUGUUUAUAAAAUAUUACACUAUAUAGCCUACUGUUGAACUCUUUUAAAUUAUUUGUUAAUGGCUACAGUUAGUGCUGUCAAUUGUACAGAACUGUUAUCAUUUCAUAUACAUUGUACUUACAAAAAUGUACAAACAUUUAGAAUUACAAUGUUUUCAUAAAUGGUGUCCUUUUGAUUAGAUAAUGCAUAAAUCUUCAAACUUACAGAAUUUUUGUUUGUAACAUGUCCGUGCUUUCUUUUUUAUUGUUCGAGAAAAGUACCAAAAAAUUGAAUUGGAGCCGCCAACUCGAGUUCGCAUGCAGAUACUCUUAUGACGAUGAAAGCAUGCAUUGAAUAUUUGUAUAUAAUUUUUAUUACAAAACUGAGUCAUAGGUGUAUCAAUGAUAUUGAUACUGUUGUGAUGUAAAAAAAAACAUCAUUUACAAGGUCUCUUAUUAUUUAUUCACACUUUUUUAUUUUUAUAUAACAGUUUCUUUGUAGCUUAUCUCAUUAUCUAUCAUUUAUUUCAUGUUUCAGGUUUUGAAGCCCAACGGUUAGUAAAAUCAUGGAAUUUAAUAACUCUGUGGGCAUAAACAUUUGCAAAUAUCAUUAUUGAUAUGAUGUUUUUUUUCCGUAAGGGAACAAGUUGCUAUGUAUCUGCUUAAGUUCCUCGGCUUUAGUUCAAAAGUUCAAAUGGGAUCAACAACUCUAUUAUUAAUUGCUUUUACUUUUUCAAAUUAUAAGAGAUGUUUGCUGCAAAAAAAGGCAUUAUCCUUAAAUUAUCUUCAUAUUUUCACAUAGAUCGAACAUUGGCUUAGUUAGGGAGCCCGUUUUUCCCAGCUCUCACAUUGAAAAUCCUUUUCUUUCAGAAAUCAUUAGAUCAUCACUUGUAGGUUGAUGUAUCUUAAUUCAUUUGAGGUCAGAACUCAUAAUCACCAAACUUAAAUUAAUAAGUUGAGGAAUUAUUUCGGAAGUUUAAAAUAUCUUUGACAAGAACGCAAAAUUGUUCGUUUUUUUAAAACUAAAUUGCAGUCCUGUUUCCAGGGAAAUCAAGACAACUUCCCGCAAAAAGUGUUAGACAAGAAACCAUAUCUUAACCCUGACGUCAUGAGGUUAUCUUCCCUUAACUGUAAUUGUACACGUAAGUGUAGCUUUUUUCAUGUUUUCUAUGUCAUAUUUGUUGUUGUAUAUGUGUUGUUGAAACAAUAAAAUUUUAUCAUCUCUA
This is an RNA transcript of Mytilus californianus (California mussel), 2260 nucleotides long. RefSeq lists it as uncharacterized. NCBI's taxonomy places the organism in Eukaryota, Metazoa, Mollusca, Bivalvia, Mytilida, Mytilidae. The transcript is spliced from 5 exons. The record is from RefSeq and is a predicted model, not a curated record.